GUGCACGCUGGCGGUAGGCCUAACACAUGCAAGUCGAACGGCAGCACAGUAAGAGCUUGCUCUUACGGGUGGCGAGUGGCGGACGGGUGAGGAAUACAUCGGAAUCUACUUUUUCGUGGGGGAUAACGUGGGGAAACUUACGCUAAUACCGCAUACGACCUACGGGUGAAAGCAGGGGAUCUUCGGACCUUGCGCGAUUGAAUGAGCCGAUGUCGGAUUAGCUAGUUGGCGGGGUAAAGGCCCACCAAGGCGACGAUCCGUAGCUGGUCUGAGAGGAUGAUCAGCCACACUGGAACUGAGACACGGUCCAGACUCCUACGGGAGGCAGCAGUGGGGAAUAUUGGACAAUGGGCGCAAGCCUGAUCCAGCCAUACCGCGUGGGUGAAGAAGGCCUUCGGGUUGUAAAGCCCUUUUGUUGGGAAAGAAAAGCAGCAGGUUAAUACCCCGCUGUUCUGACGGUACCCAAAGAAUAAGCACCGGCUAACUUCGUG
This 491-nucleotide ribosomal RNA is filed under the name uncultured bacterium. RNAcentral's name for it is "partial 16S ribosomal RNA". It matches the Rfam family "Bacterial small subunit ribosomal RNA", at positions 29 to 507 of the family's 1533-position model. The record is from RNAcentral.